This 391-nucleotide transfer-messenger RNA is filed under the name Patescibacteria group. Its description in RNAcentral is "f UBA8517 X18 Standard tmRNA". It matches the Rfam family "transfer-messenger RNA". Rfam says of the family: Bacterial tmRNA, also known as 10Sa RNA or SsrA, is named for its dual tRNA and mRNA-like properties. Its role is to liberate the mRNA from a stalled ribosome. RNAcentral also lists the same sequence under 1 other name. The record is from RNAcentral.
GGGGACGAACUAGGAUUCGACGAGAAGUACGUUAACAAACUGGCAAGCCGAGGUUGCUCUCGCUCGUAAAAAAGGGCAAAAACAAUAAGCGACGAAAAAACCGCUUAUACUCCAAGCAGGAGCUAUGCUAACGCUGGCUUCGCUUACGCUUUCGCGUAAACUUGGUGUCCGCCUAGGUGAAUCUCAGCCGCCUGGUGUCGGGCAUAAACCCGUCUGAGAUGCCCCCCGCGUAUUUGGUUUGGGUGUGCGGGGUUAAGAUUACUAAACCUAGCUUUAAGUUGUACAUGCUGAUAUGAAGACUUUAGGCAAAAAAAAUAAAAAUCAGCUAAGCUUGUAGUCAGUUAGUAAACAGCUUUUACGGACGCGGGUUCGACUCCCGCCGUCUCCACAC